UACGUAGGGACCAAGCGUUGUUCGGAUUUACUGGGCGUAAAGGGCGCGUAGGCGGCGAAUCAAGUCAGCUGUGAAAUCUCCGAGCUUAACUCGGAACGGUCAGCUGAUACUGUUUUGCUAGAGUGCAGAAAGGGCAACCGGAAUUCUUGGUGUAGCGGUGAAAUGCGUAGAUAUCAAGGGGAACACCUGGGGCGAAGGCGGGUUGCUAGGCUGACACUGACGCUGAAGCGCGAAAGCUAGGGUAGCAAACGGG
RNAcentral lists this ribosomal RNA (253 nucleotides) under uncultured bacterium. RNAcentral describes it as "partial 16S ribosomal RNA". It matches the Rfam family "Bacterial small subunit ribosomal RNA", at positions 524 to 776 of the family's 1533-position model. The record is from RNAcentral.